GUAUCCUGGCUCAGAUUGAACGCUGGCGGCAGGCCUAACACAUGCAAGUCGAACGGUAACAGGAAGAAGCUUGCUUCUUUGCUGACGAGUGGCGGACGGGUGAGUAAUGUCUGGGAAACUGCCUGAUGGAGGGGGAUAACUACUGGAAACGGUAGCUAAUACCGCAUAACGUCGCAAGACCAAAGAGGGGGACCUUACGGGCCGUCUUGGCCAUCGGAUGUGCCCAGAUGGGAUUAGCUAGUAGGUGGGGUAACGG
This 256-nucleotide ribosomal RNA is filed under the name uncultured bacterium. RNAcentral's name for it is "partial 16S ribosomal RNA". It matches the Rfam family "Bacterial small subunit ribosomal RNA", at positions 14 to 263 of the family's 1533-position model. The record is from RNAcentral.